GAUGAACGCUGGCGGCGUGCUUAACACAUGCAAGUCGAACGGAAAGGCCCAAGCUUGCUUGGGUACUCGAGUGGCGAACGGGUGAGUAACACGUGGGUGAUCUGCCCUGCACUUCGGGAUAAGCCUGGGAAACUGGGUCUAAUACCGGAUAGGACCACUUCUUGGAUGUUGUGGUGGAAAGUUUUUUCGGUGUGGGAUGAGCUCGCGGCCUAUCAGCUUGUUGGUGGGGUAAUGGCCUACCAAGGCGUCGACGGGUAGCCGGCCUGAGAGGGUGUACGGCCACAUUGGGACUGAGAUACGGCCCAGACUCCUACGGGAGGCAGCAGUGGGGAAUAUUGCACAAUGGGCGCAAGCCUGAUGCAGCGACGCUGCGGGGGGGAUGACGGCCUUCGGGUUGUAAACUCCUUUCGCUAGGGACGAAGCGUUUUGUGACGGUACCUGGAGAAGAAGCACCGGCUAACUACGUG
Molecule: ribosomal RNA, 467 nt
Filed under: uncultured bacterium
Lineage: Bacteria
Description: partial 16S ribosomal RNA
Rfam family: Bacterial small subunit ribosomal RNA
Source: RNAcentral